This 368-nucleotide ribosomal RNA is filed under the name uncultured Anaerolineaceae bacterium. Its description in RNAcentral is "bacterial SSU rRNA". It matches the Rfam family "Bacterial small subunit ribosomal RNA", at positions 1000 to 1382 of the family's 1533-position model. Lineage: Bacteria; Bacillati; Chloroflexota; Anaerolineae; Anaerolineales; Anaerolineaceae. The record is from RNAcentral.
AAGGAAACUGGACCGACCUUCGGGGAGCUUGUACAGGUGCUGCAUGGCUGUCGUCAGCUCGUGUCGUGAGAUGUUCGGUUAAGUCCGCUAACGAGCGCAACCCUCGCUGUGUGUUACAAGUGUCACACGGAACUGCCGGUCAUAAACCGGAGGAAGGUGGGGAUGACGUCAAGUCAGCAUGGCCUUUAUAUCCUGGGCUACACACACGCUACAAUGGGAAGGGACAAUAGGUUGCGAAGCCGCGAGGCGGAGCCAAUCCAGCAAAACUUCCCUCAGUUCAGAUUGCAGGCUGCAACUCGCCUGCAUGAAGUUGGAGUUGCUAGUAAACGCAGGUCAGCCAUACUGCGUUGAAUACGUUCCCGGGGCUU